CGCGCAGGCGGUUGUUUAAGUCGAAUGUGAAAGCCCCCGGCUCAACUGGGGAGGGUCAUUCGAUACUGAUCGACUUGAAGGCAGGAGAGGGUAGUGGAAUUCCCGGUGUAGUGGUGAAAUGCGUAGAUAUCGGGAGGAACACCAGUGGCGAAGGCGACUACCUGGCCUGUUCUUGACGCUGAGGCGCGAAAGCUGGGGGGAGCAAACGG
This 209-nucleotide ribosomal RNA is filed under the name uncultured bacterium. RNAcentral's name for it is "partial 16S ribosomal RNA". It matches the Rfam family "Bacterial small subunit ribosomal RNA", at positions 568 to 775 of the family's 1533-position model. The record is from RNAcentral.